Molecule: non-coding RNA, 125 nt
Organism: Triticum aestivum (bread wheat)
Lineage: Eukaryota; Viridiplantae; Streptophyta; Magnoliopsida; Poales; Poaceae
Source: Rfam
UAUGUACUCCUUCUGUCCGGAAAUACUCGUCGGAGGAAUGGAUGUAUCUAGAUGUAUUUAAGUUUUAGAUACAUUCAUUUUUAGACAUUUCUCCCACAAGUAUUUUCGGACAGAGGGAGUACUGA